GCUUUUGGCGAGGAAUAAAGAGUAUGCAUGUUUAAUUUCAAAGGCAGAAAGGAAAUGAAGUAUUCAUUUAUUUUUUUUAUCUUUUUAUUUUAUUAGCAAUAUUUUUAUCAUAUAAAUCAGAUUUAAAUUGUCAUAGGAGGAAUAAAAAUAAUUCUGAAAUUUUUUUCUAUAGUACUCCUAUGCACCACCUACACAACAGCUUACUGCCAUAUGUGUUGCUUAUCAGUUGUCCUUGGGGGACACUGAAGGUGAUUGCUAAGCUGGUACACAGGUGCGGGCACCUUCUGGAUUUUGAUGGGAGAACAUGAAUGCAUGUUGUAGGUUUCAUGUUAAAGGGGGAGGUUACUGUUGGAUGGACAACGGGGAUUGAUGGAUAGAGACAGCAUAGCAAGAUAUAGAAUGAUAGAAAGAUAGAUAAAAGGUCAUUUUGUUUCCUUCUCAUUUUUCGGGCGUUGGUGAGAGACACAUGCAUGAAUGCUCAAACCAAUCAGGAAGCCUUGUGACUUCAAGAACGUGUUUGUUUCACUGCCACACACACCCUUCUGUUCUACUCCCUCUGUUCCAAAUAAUAAGAUAUUCCAAGAAUCUUGGAGAGUCAAAGUAUCUUAAUUCUGACCAAAGUUAUAGAUAAAAAUUACAAAAAUUUAUAACAUCAAAUAGGUAAACUAUCAAAAUAUAUUUAAUCAAGAAUCUAAUAAUACAUAGUUGGUAUCAUAAAUAUUAUUAUCUUAUCAUAUAAAUUUGGACAAACUUGAGAUCCUUUUACUCUCAAAGAUUCUUAGAAUGUCUUAUAAUUGGGGACCGAGGGGGUAGUAUAUACUAUUACACUAGCACAAUAAAGCUCUAUACAAGCUAUUCUAUAUUUCUACGGGCAUUUUUUAGACCCGCCAACGUUGGGGGCCAGUGGAAAUGAAAACUUUCCACUGGC
This 928-nucleotide long non-coding RNA is filed under the name Sorghum bicolor (sorghum). Its description in RNAcentral is "long non-coding RNA (SBIC_LNC009263)". Lineage: Eukaryota; Viridiplantae; Streptophyta; Magnoliopsida; Poales; Poaceae. The record is from RNAcentral.